AAUGAACGCUGGCGGCAGGCCUAAUACAUGCAAGUCGAACGGUGUCUUCGGACAUAGUGGCGCACGGGUGCGUAACACGUAUGCAACCUACCUUACAUUGGGGGAUAGCCUUUCGAAAGGGAGAUUAAUACCGCAUAAGACAGUAGCUGGGCAUCCAGCAGCUGUUAAAGAUUUAUCGAUGUAAGCUGGGCAUGCGUCCAAUUAGCUAGUUGGUGAGGUAACGGCUCACCAAGGCAAUGAUUGGUAGGGGAACUGAGAGGUCAAUCCCCCACACUGGAACUGAGAUACGGGCCAGAAUCCUACGGGAGGCAGCAGUAGGGAAUAUUGGGCAAUGGACGCAAGUCUGACCCAGCCAUGCCGCGUGCAGGAUGAAGGCGUUAUGCGUUGUAAACUGCUUUUAUACAGGAAGAAACUACUCUUGCGAGAGGCAUUGACGGUACUGUAUGAAUAAGCACCGGCUAACUCCGUGCCAGCCGCCGCCGUAA
RNAcentral lists this ribosomal RNA (485 nucleotides) under uncultured bacterium. Its description in RNAcentral is "partial 16S ribosomal RNA". It matches the Rfam family "Bacterial small subunit ribosomal RNA", at positions 29 to 523 of the family's 1533-position model. The record is from RNAcentral.